RNAcentral lists this ribosomal RNA (468 nucleotides) under uncultured bacterium. Its description in RNAcentral is "partial 16S ribosomal RNA". It matches the Rfam family "Bacterial small subunit ribosomal RNA", at positions 28 to 507 of the family's 1533-position model. The record is from RNAcentral.
GACGAACGCUGGCGGCGUGCUUAACACAUGCAAGUCGAACGGAAAGGCCCUGCUUUUGUGGGGUGCUCGAGUGGCGAACGGGUGAGUAACACGUGAGUAACCUGCCCUUGACUUUGGGAUAACUUCAGGAAACUGGGGCUAAUACCGGAUAGGAGCUCCUGCUGCAUGGUGGGGGUUGGAAAGAUUCGGCGGUUGGGGAUGGACUCGCGGGUUAUCAGCUUGUUGGUGGGGUAGUGGCUUACCAAGGCUUUGACGGGUAGCCGGCCUGAGAGGCUGACCGGCGACAUUGGGACUGAGGUACGGCCCAGACUCCAACGGGAGGCAGCAGUGGAGAAUAUUGCACAAUGGGCGGAAGUCUGAUGCAGCAACGCUGCGUGCGGGAUGACGGCCUUCGGGUUGUAAACCGCUUUCGCCUGUGACGAAGCGUGAGUGACGGUAAUGGGUAAAGAAGCACCGGCUAACUACGUG